CGCCCUUAGUGCUGAGUUAACGCAUAAGCACUCCGCCUGGGAGUACGGCCGCAAGGCUAAACUCAAAGGAAUUGACGGGGCCCGCACAAGCGGUGGAGCAUGUGGUUUAAUUCGAAGCAACGCGAAGAACCUUACCAGGUCUUGACAUCCUCUGAAAACCCUAGAGAUAGGGCUUCUCCUUCGGGAGCAGAGUGACAGGUGGUGCAUGGUUGUCGUCAGCUCGUGUCGUGAGAUGUUGGGUUAAGUCCCGCAACGAGCGCAACCCUUGAUCUUAGUUGCCAUCAUUAAGUUGGGCACUCUAAGGUGACUGCCGGUGACAAACCGGAGGAAGGUGGGGAUGACGUCAAAUCAUCAUGCCCCUUAUGACCUGGGCUACACACGUGCUACAAUGGACGGUACAAAGAGCUGCAAGACCGCGAGGUGGAGCUAAUCUCAUAAACCGUUCUCAGUUCGGAUUGUAGGCUGCAACUCGCCUACAUGAAGCUGGAAUCGCUAGUAAUCGCGGAUCAGCAUGCCGCGGUGAUACGUCCCUGGCUUGUACACACCGCCCUGCACACCAC
This 560-nucleotide ribosomal RNA is filed under the name Bacillus sp. E10-BR. RNAcentral's name for it is "bacterial SSU rRNA". It matches the Rfam family "Bacterial small subunit ribosomal RNA", at positions 836 to 1405 of the family's 1533-position model. The record is from RNAcentral. Lineage: Bacteria; Bacillati; Bacillota; Bacilli; Caryophanales; Bacillaceae.